This 1146-nucleotide long non-coding RNA is filed under the name Elaeis guineensis (African oil palm). RNAcentral describes it as "long non-coding RNA (EGUI_LNC049149)". Lineage: Eukaryota; Viridiplantae; Streptophyta; Magnoliopsida; Arecales; Arecaceae. The record is from RNAcentral.
GGUUGCUCUUCACUGGAGUUAGGUGCACUCGAAGACUGGCCAUAACAGAUUGGCGCACUUGGUAGGGGCCUAAUCCAAUCAUCAUGGCAAAAACAUAAGCCCAAAAUGUUUCCACCGACUCCGCUUGGCAACCUUCCCGUCGGAAAGAUCUCCCACCUCUAUUGGUAGAGCCCAAUUCCUCACGUCCGGCCAUCACUGCAGAUAUGCAAUAAUUCGCUACCUUAGUGUAACAGGUGAAAAUACUGAUAGAGGUAGUGCACAGUCUCCAGCAAUAGCAAAUGCAACAACAACAAUAACAGCAACCAAUAGUGAAAGAGCUGGCACCGCAUACACUGCCAUCCAAACACAAUCGUCGCACCCCAUGAUGAUCUCCUUCUCCAUCUUCAAAAUGAUGACCUACUCGACAUGCGCACCAUGUCAAGCCACCACCAUCCUAGCACUUCCAUCGUGUCGCCCACCAACAGUGAUGGUCUCCUCCUCACCACCAUAGUAACAAGAAGGGGAAGAGGACGUGCUCGCUUUCAAGUUCUUCAUCCUCAAGUUCUUCAGGAGAUUCUACCUCUGCAUUCUCACAGCAACGGCAACUCAAUGCCUAUGAGCGUAAGCUCAGAGACAUUGAUCACCAACUCGCUUAGCUCCAAGUGGAUGGUUGAGGGUUUUUCAAUGACUUUGACAUCCACACUACUCCACCCUUCUUCCGACGCAUCUUAGACGAGCCAAUCCCAACUCGAUUUAAGAUGUCACAGAUGGAGCCUUAUGAUGGCUCCACCGAACUUGUUGACCAUCUGGAGAGUUAAAAGGCUCUCAUGAUGAUUUAGGAGGCAGUCGAUACCCUCUUAUGUCUUGAUUUCUCAGCAACCAUCCGGAAAGCUACCCAGGUCUGGUAUUUUGGGCUCUAAUUGAGAAGUAUCCAUUCCUUCGAGCAGCUGGAACAGUCAUUCAUAGUCCACUUCAACACCAGCAAAAAAAUACCAUGAAUGUUUGAUAGCCUUUUUUCUCUCAAGCAGUAAGAGGGAGAAAAACUUAGAGAGUUUGUGGCAUGUUUCAAUAUUGCCACACUUGAGAUUCGGGACCUUAAUGAGGACAUGGCCUUCUCAGCCAUGAAGAGAGGGCUCAGAAGCUCCAAGUUUACUUGGUCAUUGGACA